Molecule: ribosomal RNA, 253 nt
Filed under: uncultured bacterium
Lineage: Bacteria
Description: partial 16S ribosomal RNA
Rfam family: Bacterial small subunit ribosomal RNA
Source: RNAcentral
UACGUAGGGUGCGAGCGUUGUCCGGAAUUAUUGGGCGUAAAGAGCUCGUAGGCGGUUUGUCGCGUCGACUGUGAAAACCUACAGCUUAACUGUGGGCUUGCAGUCGAUACGGGCAGACUUGAGUUCGGUAGGGGAGACUAGAAUUCCUGGUGUAGCGGUGAAAUGCGCAGAUAUCAGGAGGAACACCGGUGGCGAAGGCGGGUCUCUGGGCCGAUACUGACGCUGAGGAGCGAAAGCGUGGGGAGCGAACAGG